GAUGAUUUGAUGUCCUAAAGAAGCCUUCCACUUCUUAACGUCGAAAAACUCAUUCCCUCUUUUUAAUUUUUGUGGCACACUUCCUUCUUUUCCCACACAUAACCUCUUCUUAACACCCUAAAAGAUCAAAUCUUAUUUGAUCUUAGGCGUUCAAAUCCAAACCAAGGGAUAGAUGGGCAUGGAGAUGAUGUUGUGCGGCAAGAAAGGAACUCCCAG
Molecule: long non-coding RNA, 216 nt
Filed under: Elaeis guineensis (African oil palm)
Lineage: Eukaryota; Viridiplantae; Streptophyta; Magnoliopsida; Arecales; Arecaceae
Description: long non-coding RNA (EGUI_LNC081473)
Source: RNAcentral